CAGUAGCCGCGGGAAUACGAAGGGGGCUAGCGUUGUUCGGAUUUACUGGGCGUAAAGGGUGCGUAGGCGGAUUGUUAAGUCAGGGAUGAAAUCCCGAGGCUCAACCUCGGAACUGCCUUUGAUACUGGCGAUCUUGAGUCCGGGAGAGGUGAGUGGAACUGCGAGUGUAGAGGUGAAAUUCGUAGAUAUUCGGAGGAACACCAGUGGCGAAGGCGGCUCACUGGACCAUUACUGACGCUGAGGUGCGAAAGCGUGGGGAGCAAACAGGAUUAGAUACCCCCGUAGUCCCUGUCUCUUAUAC
This 301-nucleotide ribosomal RNA is filed under the name uncultured bacterium. RNAcentral describes it as "partial 16S ribosomal RNA". It matches the Rfam family "Bacterial small subunit ribosomal RNA", at positions 509 to 807 of the family's 1533-position model. The record is from RNAcentral.